This 518-nucleotide ribosomal RNA is filed under the name Lactobacillus gasseri. RNAcentral describes it as "bacterial SSU rRNA". It matches the Rfam family "Bacterial small subunit ribosomal RNA", at positions 40 to 518 of the family's 1533-position model. Lineage: Bacteria; Bacillati; Bacillota; Bacilli; Lactobacillales; Lactobacillaceae. The record is from RNAcentral.
CGGCGUGCCUAAUACAUGCAAGUCGAGCGAGCUUGCCUAGAUGAAUUUGGUGCUUGCACCAGAUGAAACUAGAUACAAGCGAGCGGCGGACGGGUGAGUAACACGUGGGUAACCUGCCCAAGAGACUGGGAUAACACCUGGAAACAGAUGCUAAUACCGGAUAACAACACUAGACGCAUGUCUAGAGUUUAAAAGAUGGUUCUGCUAUCACUCUUGGAUGGACCUGCGGUGCAUUAGCUAGUUGGUAAGGUAACGGCUUACCAAGGCAAUGAUGCAUAGCCGAGUUGAGAGACUGAUCGGCCACAUUGGGACUGAGACACGGCCCAAACUCCUACGGGAGGCAGCAGUAGGGAAUCUUCCACAAUGGACGCAAGUCUGAUGGAGCAACGCCGCGUGAGUGAAGAAGGGUUUCGGCUCGUAAAGCUCUGUUGGUAGUGAAGAAAGAUAGAGGUAGUAACUGGCCUUUAUUUGACGGUAAUUACUUAGAAAGUCACGGCUAACUACGUGCCAGCAGCCGC